GCACCGGUGGUUGAGUGGUAGGGUACCCGCCUCCCACGUGGGUGACCCGGGUUCGAAUCCCGGUCAAUGCA
Molecule: transfer RNA, 71 nt
Filed under: Angiostrongylus costaricensis
Lineage: Eukaryota; Metazoa; Nematoda; Chromadorea; Rhabditida; Metastrongylidae
Rfam family: tRNA
About the family: Transfer RNA (tRNA) molecules are approximately 80 nucleotides in length.
Source: Rfam by way of RNAcentral